Molecule: transfer RNA, 80 nt
Filed under: Caudoviricetes sp.
Lineage: Duplodnaviria; Heunggongvirae; Uroviricota; Caudoviricetes
Description: tRNA-Leu
Rfam family: tRNA
About the family: Transfer RNA (tRNA) molecules are approximately 80 nucleotides in length.
Source: RNAcentral
GCGAGAAUGGUGAAAUUGGUAAACACAAGGGACUUAAAAUCCCCCGCUUAGGCUUGAGGGUUCGAGGCCCUCUUCUCGCA